UCCCUACUGGUCCAGUGACUGGGACUCUGCACUCCCAAUGCAGGGAGCCUGGGUUCAAUUCCUGAUCAGGGAA
Molecule: transfer RNA, 73 nt
Filed under: Bos taurus (domestic cattle)
Lineage: Eukaryota; Metazoa; Chordata; Mammalia; Artiodactyla; Bovidae
Also listed under: 4 other names
Rfam family: tRNA
About the family: Transfer RNA (tRNA) molecules are approximately 80 nucleotides in length. Their secondary structure includes four short double-helical elements and three loops (D, anti-codon, and T loops). Further hydrogen bonds mediate the characteristic L-shaped molecular structure. tRNAs have two regions of fundamental functional importance: the anti-codon, which is responsible for specific mRNA codon recognition, and the 3' end, to which the tRNAs corresponding amino acid is attached (by aminoacyl-tRNA synthetases). tRNAs cope with the degeneracy of the genetic code in two manners: having more than one tRNA (with a specific anti-codon) for a particular amino acid; and 'wobble' base-pairing, i.e. permitting non-standard base-pairing at the 3rd anti-codon position.
Source: Rfam by way of RNAcentral